Long non-coding RNA from Planococcus citri (citrus mealybug), 1160 nucleotides. RefSeq lists it as uncharacterized. The transcript has 2 exons. The record is from RefSeq and is a predicted model, not a curated record. NCBI's taxonomy places the organism in Eukaryota, Metazoa, Arthropoda, Insecta, Hemiptera, Pseudococcidae.
CAGUUAGCUGCAGUUGUGCUGUUUCAUUCAUUCAAUGUAAAAUAAAAAAUAAUGAAAUGGACAAUACAACUAAUCCUAUUCGAAACACCGAUAUUUUUUCUCCUAAUCUCGAAUUCAAUCCAAUUCAAAUACGACCACUCCUUCGAACCGAACCAAAAAAUGAUUUCGAAACCAAGACCUGCAGCUACAACGUUUACAAACGAAAACAGAAACAUUCGCAAACACAAUCAAAAUCACCAAAAUGAUUAUGAAAACCGAACAGUUAUCGGAAUUAUGAAUGAAAACAUUUCUUCAUCUUUCAGCACACCUGACAUCGUUAAUUUUCGCAAUUCUACAGCUGUGACUGUGAAACUAGAUUCACUCACAUCACAACCAAAUAUCCCUAACAAUACAUCGAAUAAUUUCAAUUUCAAUUCCAUAUCGCUUCAAAAACGAAAAAUAAUAUUUAUAAAUCAGCCAGUUCACUCACCGACAGCCAAAUCAAGUGUUACAAAACAUCCGGUGGAGUAUUUCAUGGAAUUUGAUCACGUAAUAUCCAACGAAUCUGAAUCCAAUCACUCGCUAUACAAAGCAAUAUCUGAAUUAUACGAAAUGCUGAAAAGUUACUUCGGUAAACCUUACACGUUACCGAGUGAAUUUGCUGUUAUACCCACCGAACAGAUUCCAAUGACGCAGAAAAAUGAUUAUCCAUCGUCUGAAUCUCCAGCUGUUCGAAUUCGAAAUAAUCAAGCCAUCCACCAUUCUGAUGUGAAAACUGCAGCGAUCUCUGAAAAAGAAGAAACAUCGCUGAAUAUUGCUCCUAAUUUCGAUCAAUUUCGUAAAGAUGCGAUGAAAUGGGUAGUAAUACUUUUCGUUGUAACGUUUGCUUUGGUGGUCAUCGUUGCAGGAAGUGCUUCGUAUUAUCGAUCUAGAAACAAAUCAUCUUAUGAGUGCUGGAUCAUCAGAAAUGAUUUCCAUCAUACAGCUUGUUUGUAAUUUACUGUGAAUGUAAUAUUAGAAACUUAAGAGAGAAGUAUUUGUAUUCGUACUUACUCAUAAUUACUAUACAUGUAUGUUACUGUAGUUGAGGUGCUAACACGUGAUUGAUGAUGUCUUGCUUCUGCUACCAGUGAUGGUGAAAAUAAAUUCAAUACAGAAAAAUGCACUAUUAAUUUGCAAAA